RNAcentral lists this ribosomal RNA (365 nucleotides) under uncultured bacterium. RNAcentral describes it as "bacterial SSU rRNA". It matches the Rfam family "Bacterial small subunit ribosomal RNA", at positions 29 to 377 of the family's 1533-position model. The record is from RNAcentral.
AACGAACGCUGGCGGCGUGCCUCAUACAUGCAAGUCGUACGCGAAUCCUGCCGCAAGGCAGGGUUUGAGUGGCAAACGGGUGCGUAACACGUAGGUAAUCUUCCUUUGAGUUGGGGAUAAACCCUCGAAAGGGGUCUAAUACCGAAUAACACUUCUGGUUGGCAUCAACCGGAAAUUAAAGAUGGCCUCUGCUUGCAAGCUAUCGCUCGGAGAUGAGCCUGCGGCCGAUUAGUUAGUUGGCGGGAUAAAAGCCCACCAAGACUUCGAUCGGUAGCCGGUCUGAGAGGAUGUCCGGCCACACUGGGACUGAGAUACGGCCCAGACUCCUACGGGAGGCAGCAGUAGGGAAUAUUGCGCAAUGACCG